This 26-nucleotide non-coding RNA is filed under the name Danio rerio (zebrafish). RNAcentral also lists the same sequence under 6 other names. The record is from RNAcentral. Lineage: Eukaryota; Metazoa; Chordata; Actinopteri; Cypriniformes; Danionidae.
UGGUUCAGUGGUAGAAUUCUCGCCUG